CACGAAGUUAGCCGGGGCUUCUUCUCCGGAUACCGUCAUUAUCUUCUCCGGUGAAAGAACUUUACAACCCUAAGGCCUUCAUCAUUCACGCGGCAUGGCUGGAUCAGGCUUGCGCCCAUUGUCCAAUAUUCCCCACUGCUGCCUCCCGUAGGAGUUUGGGCCGUGUCUCAGUCCCAAUGUGGCUGAUCAUCCUCUCAGACCAGCUAUGGAUCGUCGCCUUGGUAGGCCUUUACCCCACCAACUAGCUAAUCCAACGCGGGCCGAUCCUUUACCGAUAAAUCUUUCCCCCAAAGGGCACAUACGGUAUUAGCUCCAGUUUCCCCGGAGUUGUUCCGUAGUAAAGGGUACGUUCCCACGCGUUACUCACCCGUCUGCCGCUCCCCUUGCGGGGCGCUCGACUUGCAUGUGUUAAGCCUGCCGCCAGCGUUCGUUCUGAGCCAGGAGUCAAACUACU
Molecule: ribosomal RNA, 454 nt
Filed under: uncultured Rhizobium sp.
Lineage: Bacteria; Pseudomonadati; Pseudomonadota; Alphaproteobacteria; Hyphomicrobiales; Rhizobiaceae
Description: partial 16S ribosomal RNA
Source: RNAcentral